UGCAGCAGUGAUAUUGUUCUGGUCUCAUCAGAUCUCAGAAGCUCAGCAGGGCUGGACCCCGUUAGUUCUUGGAUGGGUGACUGCUGGGAAUAUCAGAUACCAGAGCAG
This 108-nucleotide ribosomal RNA is filed under the name Periophthalmus magnuspinnatus. The record is from RNAcentral. Lineage: Eukaryota; Metazoa; Chordata; Actinopteri; Gobiiformes; Gobiidae.